UACGAGGGGUGCAAGCGUUGCUCGGAAUUAUUGGGCGUAAAGGGUAGGUAGGUGGUCUCAUUUGUCUGGGGUGAAAGCCUUGAGCUUAACUCAAGAAGUGCCCCGGAAACGGUGAGACUAGAGUCUUGGAGAGGGUCGUGGAAUUCCCGGUGUAGCGGUGAAAUGCGUAGAGAUCGGGAGGAACACCAGAGGCGAAAGCGGCGAGCUGGAUCACUACUGACGCUGAAGAACGAAAGCUAGGGGAGCAAACAGG
Molecule: ribosomal RNA, 253 nt
Filed under: uncultured bacterium
Lineage: Bacteria
Description: partial 16S ribosomal RNA
Rfam family: Bacterial small subunit ribosomal RNA
Source: RNAcentral